RNAcentral lists this transfer RNA (76 nucleotides) under Rhodospirillaceae bacterium. Its description in RNAcentral is "tRNA-Glu". It matches the Rfam family "tRNA". From Rfam's summary of the family: Transfer RNA (tRNA) molecules are approximately 80 nucleotides in length. Their secondary structure includes four short double-helical elements and three loops (D, anti-codon, and T loops). RNAcentral also lists the same sequence under 2 other names. Lineage: Bacteria; Pseudomonadati; Pseudomonadota; Alphaproteobacteria; Rhodospirillales; Rhodospirillaceae. The record is from RNAcentral.
GUCCCCUUCGUCUAGCGGCCUAGGACAUCGCCCUCUCACGGCGAAAACACGGGUUCGAUUCCCGUAGGGGACGCCA